UUAAUUAAGUACUGUUUUUAGUUCAUUUGUGCUUUAAUGUCUCUUUGAUCUUCUAUCACUUCUUGACUAAAGAGUUGAAUGCACUGAAGCAACAGCUACAGAGGACAGAGGCAGAACUGAGACAUAUGAUGAAACAGAAUGAAGAACUGGAGGAGAAAGUUUCAGAGUUGGAUACAACAGAGCAACAACAACAGAGGACAGAGGGAGGACAGAGAGAUGUGAUGAAACAGAAUGAAGAACUGCAGAAGAAAGUUUCAGAGUUGAAUGCAC
Epinephelus lanceolatus (giant grouper) is the source of this 270-nucleotide non-coding RNA. NCBI's taxonomy places the organism in Eukaryota, Metazoa, Chordata, Actinopteri, Perciformes, Serranidae. The record is from RefSeq and is a predicted model, not a curated record.